This 210-nucleotide unclassified non-coding RNA is filed under the name soil metagenome. RNAcentral describes it as "partial contains 5.8S ribosomal RNA, internal transcribed spacer 2, and large subunit ribosomal RNA". The record is from RNAcentral.
AACCUAGCACACCUGCGGUGUGUACCUGCGGAGGGAUCAUUACCGAGUUUACAACUCCCAAACCCCUGUGAACAUACCUAUACGUUGCCUCGGCGGAUCAGCCCGCGCCCUGUAAAAAGGGACGGCCCGCCCGAGGACCCCUAAACUCUGUUUUUAGUGGAACUUCUGAGUAAAACAAACAAAUAAAUCAAAACUUUUAACAAUGGAUCU